GCUGUGGCCCAGUGGCAGUGCACUUGCCUAGCACACUCAGACCCUGGGUUCAAUCCCCAGCACUGCA
This 67-nucleotide transfer RNA is filed under the name Marmota monax (woodchuck). RNAcentral's name for it is "tRNA.Ala". The record is from RNAcentral. Lineage: Eukaryota; Metazoa; Chordata; Mammalia; Rodentia; Sciuridae.